Long non-coding RNA from Suricata suricatta (meerkat), 719 nucleotides. RefSeq lists it as uncharacterized. The record is from RefSeq and is a predicted model, not a curated record. The transcript has 5 exons. Lineage: Eukaryota; Metazoa; Chordata; Mammalia; Carnivora; Herpestidae.
UCCUGGAGGCCAGAGCUGUGUCAGUCCUGUUUCAUCUCCAGUGCUUGACAUGAAGUCAAUGCUCAGGAAAUAUUUUUGUUGUUGUUGAAUAAGUGAGUCACCAACUCUAACUCCAUAGUGCAGGUGCGAAAACCAAAGCCCAGAGAAAACAAGGAACUGUUUCAAGUCAUCCAAGGCAACGGAUGACAAAGGUGAACCAAUGAUGAGCACUACCUUUUGUUGAGCAUUUACUAUAGGCCAGGGCAUGAUGUUCAGUUAUUUUAUUAGCUUCUUGAGUCAUCAUAAAGCUGUAGGAUUAGGGAUUAUGAUUACCCAGGAUUACAGACAAAGAGAAGAAGUCUCAGGGAGACAUUUCUCUGGAAAGGAGGGGACUCAUCUGCAUGACCAGGGAGGAGAGAACACAAGGGAAUCUGACCAGGGCUCAGGCUGCAGAGGACUUUGGAUUCAGAAUGUUCCCCAUCUUCUUUGAAAUGCCAGAUGAAGCCAGAGCAGGAGUCCCAGGGGACGAAGAGCUGAAAGAAAGAUGGUGGCAAAAGGACCAGAGAGUGGAGGAACCCCUCAAGGAAAUGGAUUGACCCACAGUAAAAUGGCAUCUUCUACUGUGAGAAAGAGAGUCUAGAAGGAGGUCGAUGGACCAGGGGUUAACCUGACCCGGUUGGAGGUAGAGACGCUGACUGCGGUGAGAAGGGAACCUGGCGCUUUUCAAGGAGGAAUUCUGU